Molecule: long non-coding RNA, 918 nt
Organism: Colias croceus (clouded yellow)
Lineage: Eukaryota; Metazoa; Arthropoda; Insecta; Lepidoptera; Pieridae
Exons: 3
Source: RefSeq, a predicted model, not a curated record
UUUAGAAUCUAUACAAGCAUGUGUAUUGUGUAGUGAGUAGUGACUAGUGUGUCUAUUAUGUCCGAAAAUAUAGUAUUGUGAUGGAAAAGUGUUAAUUUUAUUGUAGCUCACGAUAUGACACUACUGGAUAUCAAUUUAUUUAUUACUUGUAACAUGAUGUCAUCAUUUAACAACGUCAUACAAUAUCAGGAAAUGGACAAGACGACCAAAAUAAACAAAGUGACCUUAUUGGAAGUGUCCUACGUCUCGAAUAUUAUUGAUUGAUUUAUAUUCGCCGUACAGAUGUAUCAGUUCGUAAAUAAUUGGCCUCCAAGUUCCAACUCUAAAAUGAAAAGCAUAUUUGGGCAUAUUGAUAUUUUGCGUGGGCCAGUGUAUAUUUCUCCGCUCUAUCUGUACAGCAGCACUAUAUUUCAUUCAGAAUCACUAUUCAAAGUAAACUGUGAUCAAGACAACUUUUUUUACUAUUUACUUAGCCUUGACUGGCUAAUAUUUGGCAAGGAAACGUCAUUCAUUUAAACAGUUAAGAACUUUGGACCUAAUAGGAUAUCGUUAGCAUCAAUUAUUGAUCCUACUUUAAAGUAUGUUGGUGAAUUACGAAAAAGAAAUAUAGAAUUUGUAAUUUAUUUAAUUUAUAUAUUUUGUUGUUUGUUGUUCUAGUCGAAGUCUGUACACGCAGCAAGGUCUCAGGUACUUAACACUGAGAUUAUAUUUCAAUAAGUAUCAUAUUUAGUAAUGGCUAUACUUAGAUACAAUUUUUUACAAACUUGCGUAAUAUUAUGAAAUUGUAAGCUUAAAAUAUUAUCCUUAAACAAUUUUUGAAUAGAUAAGUAAUAUAGUAAAGAGUACCUACUUUUGACCCAUCUUGUGUUAAAAACGAUACCUACUUUUAAAGGUCUAUUUAUUUUUCAAAUAUAAGUA